Long non-coding RNA from Betta splendens (Siamese fighting fish), 371 nucleotides. RefSeq lists it as uncharacterized. The record is from RefSeq and is a predicted model, not a curated record. The transcript has 2 exons. Lineage: Eukaryota; Metazoa; Chordata; Actinopteri; Anabantiformes; Osphronemidae.
UGCUAGCGGCUAGCUGCUGGCUAGCUUACAUAGCCGCCGGUGCAACGUGGAGCCACAGCGCCACCCAGCGGCGGGGACGGUUAAGCGCAGCGACCCGGCCAGGCCAAAGGAAAAACCAUGAACAGCAUCACAACGCUUGGUGAAUGAAGAGAUUAUGAGGCUUCCACACAACCAGCCAAGGAUCAGGACAUGCACCUACUCCGAUGUUCUGCAUGUUUUCAUUCACUCUGUGCUCAUUUUACAUGUUUGUUAUUAUAGUUUGUGUUCUGUUCCAUAUUAUUUAGCAUUUUUCUGUUUCUUGUGCCUAUGUGAUCUUUUUUAUUCUCCUACUGUACAUGUUACUGUACAGUAAAUCAAUCAUAUACAUUGAA